AGAUGUCCUAACACUCGUACCGAGAUACAGCUCUAUGGGGACCGGCCGAGACGUGCGCUGCGAAUAAAAGAAGAUGCAGAAUAGUUAUUAUCAAUAAAACAUUUUUAAAAAGGUAA
This is a long non-coding RNA of Spea bombifrons (plains spadefoot toad), 116 nucleotides long. RefSeq lists it as uncharacterized. NCBI's taxonomy places the organism in Eukaryota, Metazoa, Chordata, Amphibia, Anura, Pelobatidae. The transcript has 2 exons. The record is from RefSeq and is a predicted model, not a curated record.